UUUCGGCGUUGAAUCCAAUUGAGCCGCAGGCUUCACCCCUUGUGGUGCUCCCCCGCCAAUUCCUUUAAGUUUCAUACUUGCGUACGUACUUCCCAGGCGGCAAACUUAACGGCUUCCCUGCGGCACUGCACUGGCCAAAAGCCAGUGCAUCACCGAGUCUGCAUCGUUUACAGCUGGGACUACCCGGGUAUCUAAUCCGGUUUGCUCCCCCAGCUUUCAUCCCUCACCGUCGAACGUGUUCUGGUAGACCGCCUUCGCCACAGGUGGUCAUCAAGAGAUCAAAGGAUUUUACCCCUUCCUCCCGAGUACCGUCUACCUCUCCCACUCCCUAGUUCUGCAGUAUUUCCGGCAGCCCAUUAGUUGAGCUAGUGGAUUUAACCGGAAACUUACAGAACCGGCUACGGAUGCUUUAGGCCCAAUAAUCCUCCUGACCACUUGAGGUGCUGGUUUUACCGCGGCGGCUGACACCAGAACUUGCCCACCCCUUAUUCAUCAGUGGUUUUAGAACUAACAAAAGAUUCCUUUAGCAGGAAACACUCGGAUUAACCUUGUCGUGCUUGCGCACAUUGCAGAGGUUUCUCGCCUGCUGCGCCCCAUAGGGCCUGGGUCCGUGUCUCAGUACCCAUCUCCGGGCUUCUCCUCUCAGAGCCCGUACCUGUAAUAGCCUUGGUGGGCCAUUACCUCACCAACAAGCUGAUAGGCCGCAGUCCCAUCCUAUGGCGACGAAUCAUUUGGACCAUAAACCGUUCCAGGCAUUAUGAUCUAUCGCGGAUUAUUCUCAGUUUCCCGAGGUUAUCCACGUCCAUAGGGCAGAUUGACUACGUGUUACUGAGCCGUAUGCCUUGUAUUGCUACAAUGACUCACAUGGCUUAGUACCAAUCCGAUAGCAGUCAGGU
RNAcentral lists this ribosomal RNA (896 nucleotides) under uncultured archaeon. RNAcentral describes it as "16S ribosomal RNA". The record is from RNAcentral.